This 450-nucleotide ribosomal RNA is filed under the name uncultured bacterium. RNAcentral's name for it is "partial 16S ribosomal RNA". It matches the Rfam family "Bacterial small subunit ribosomal RNA", at positions 354 to 796 of the family's 1533-position model. The record is from RNAcentral.
GUGGGGAAUUUUCCACAAUGGGCGAAAGCCUGAUGGAGCAACGCCGCGUGAGUGAAGAAGGUUUUCGGAUCGUAAAGCUCUUUCGUUAGGGACGAACGUGCUCUUUGUGAAUAAUGAGGAGUAAUGACGGUACCUAAAUAAGAAGCCACGGCUAACUACGUGCCAGCAGCCGCGGUAAUACGUAGGUGGCAAGCGUUGUCCGGAAUUAUUGGGCGUAAAGCGCGCGCAGGCGGGAUAUCAAGUCUGUCUUAAAAGUGCGAGGCUCAACCUCGUGAGGGGACAGAAACUGGUAUUCUUGAGUGUCGGAGAAGAAAGUGGAAUUCCAAGUGUAGCGGUGAAAUGCGUAGAGAUUUGGAAGAACACCAGUGGCGAAGGCGACUUGCUGGACGAUGUCUGACGCUGAGGCGCGAAAGCUAGGGGAGCGAACGGGAUUAGAUACCCCAGUAGUCC